Molecule: ribosomal RNA, 253 nt
Filed under: uncultured bacterium
Lineage: Bacteria
Description: partial 16S ribosomal RNA
Rfam family: Bacterial small subunit ribosomal RNA
Source: RNAcentral
UACGUAGGGUGCAAGCGUUGUCCGGAAUUAUUGGGCGUAAAGAGCUCGUAGGCGGUUUGUCGCGUCUGCUGUGAAAACUCGGGGCUUAACUCCGGGCCUGCAGUGGGUACGGGCAGACUAGAGUGCGGUAGGGGAGACUGGAAUUCCUGGUGUAGCGGUGAAAUGCGCAGAUAUCAGGAGGAACACCGGUGGCGAAGACGGGUCUCUGGGCCGUAACUGACGCUGAGGGGCGAAAGCAUGGGGAGCGAACAGG